GUCCUCCAGGGGAAUAUGGUGGAAAAGGUGAGACAACAGCUACAACAACCGGAAUGCAGAUAACUUUGUUUUCUUGUUUGUGCAUAACCAAUUGAGGCUCAGUGCAACCAAAGAGAGAAGAAGACGAAGUGGGAUUGCGAAGAGUAUUGUUGAAGCGUGAGAAAAGGAAUUGGUAGCGAAUUGGCGAGGCUUGAUUGCUGGAACUUUGAACACGAUUCCAAAGCGCUUCAAUUCCUCCAGUGCAGCCAGAUUUGGUGCUCUUUACAGGUGAUUUUGGUGAAGAAAAUCUUGAAGUCGUUUGAAGUGUUGCAAAUGUUGAAUUUGCUAAAGCAGUUAUAUUAGAAAACCAUGACUCCUGGUUUACUAAGAACUUUUCUC
Lathyrus oleraceus (garden pea) is the source of this 378-nucleotide long non-coding RNA. RefSeq lists it as uncharacterized. Lineage: Eukaryota; Viridiplantae; Streptophyta; Magnoliopsida; Fabales; Fabaceae. The transcript is spliced from 3 exons. The record is from RefSeq and is a predicted model, not a curated record.